This 2933-nucleotide ribosomal RNA is filed under the name Escherichia coli. RNAcentral's name for it is "bacterial LSU rRNA". It matches the Rfam family "Bacterial large subunit ribosomal RNA". Lineage: Bacteria; Pseudomonadati; Pseudomonadota; Gammaproteobacteria; Enterobacterales; Enterobacteriaceae. The record is from RNAcentral.
GGGUUGUGAGGUUAAGCGACUAAGCGUACACGGUGGAUGCCCUGGCAGUCAGAGGCGAUGAAGGACGUGCUAAUCUGCGAUAAGCGUCGGUAAGGUGAUAUGAACCGUUAUAACCGGCGAUUUCCGAAUGGGGAAACCCAGUGUGAUUCGUCACACUAUCAUUAACUGAAUCCAUAGGUUAAUGAGGCGAACCGGGGGAACUGAAACAUCUAAGUACCCCGAGGAAAAGAAAUCAACCGAGAUUCCCCCAGUAGCGGCGAGCGAACGGGGAGCAGCCCAGAGCCUGAAUCAGUGUGUGUGUUAGUGGAAGCGUCUGGAAAGGCGCGCGAUACAGGGUGACAGCCCCGUACACAAAAAUGCACAUACUGUGAGCUCGAUGAGUAGGGCGGGACACGUGGUAUCCUGUCUGAAUAUGGGGGGACCAUCCUCCAAGGCUAAAUACUCCUGACUGACCGAUAGUGAACCAGUACCGUGAGGGAAAGGCGAAAAGAACCCCGGCGAGGGGAGUGAAAAAGAACCUGAAACCGUGUACGUACAAGCAGUGGGAGCACAGAGCAAUCUGUGUGACUGCGUACCUUUUGUAUAAUGGGUCAGCGACUUAUAUUCUGUAGCAAGGUUAACCGAAUAGGGGAGCCGAAGGGAAACCGAGUCUUAACUGGGCGUUAAGUUGCAGGGUAUAGACCCGAAACCCGGUGAUCUAGCCAUGGGCAGGUUGAAGGUUGGGUAACACUAACUGGAGGACCGAACCGACUAAUGUUGAAAAAUUAGCGGAUGACUUGUGGCUGGGGGUGAAAGGCCAAUCAAACCGGGAGAUAGCUGGUUCUCCCCGAAAGCUAUUUAGGUAGCGCCUCGUGAAUUCAUCUCCGGGGGUAGAGCACUGUUUCGGCAAGGGGGUCAUCCCGACUUACCAACCCGAUGCAAACUGCGAAUACCGGAGAAUGUUAUCACGGGAGACACACGGCGGGUGCUAACGUCCGUCGUGAAGAGGGAAACAACCCAGACCGCCAGCUAAGGUCCCAAAGUCAUGGUUAAGUGGGAAACGAUGUGGGAAGGCCCAGACAGCCAGGAUGUUGGCUUAGAAGCAGCCAUCAUUUAAAGAAAGCGUAAUAGCUCACUGGUCGAGUCGGCCUGCGCGGAAGAUGUAACGGGGCUAAACCAUGCACCGAAGCUGCGGCAGCGACGCUUAUGCGUUGUUGGGUAGGGGAGCGUUCUGUAAGCCUGUGAAGGUGUACUGUGAGGUAUGCUGGAGGUAUCAGAAGUGCGAAUGCUGACAUAAGUAACGAUAAAGCGGGUGAAAAGCCCGCUCGCCGGAAGACCAAGGGUUCCUGUCCAACGUUAAUCGGGGCAGGGUGAGUCGACCCCUAAGGCGAGGCCGAAAGGCGUAGUCGAUGGGAAACAGGUUAAUAUUCCUGUACUUGGUGUUACUGCGAAGGGGGGACGGAGAAGGCUAUGUUGGCCGGGCGACGGUUGUCCCGGUUUAAGCGUGUAGGCUGGUUUUCCAGGCAAAUCCGGAAAAUCAAGGCUGAGGCGUGAUGACGAGGCACUACGGUGCUGAAGCAACAAAUGCCCUGCUUCCAGGAAAAGCCUCUAAGCAUCAGGUAACAUCAAAUCGUACCCCAAACCGACACAGGUGGUCAGGUAGAGAAUACCAAGGCGCUUGAGAGAACUCGGGUGAAGGAACUAGGCAAAAUGGUGCCGUAACUUCGGGAGAAGGCACGCUGAUAUGUAGGUGAAGCGACUUGCUCGUGGAGCUGAAAUCAGUCGAAGAUACCAGCUGGCUGCAACUGUUUAUUAAAAACACAGCACUGUGCAAACACGAAAGUGGACGUAUACGGUGUGACGCCUGCCCGGUGCCGGAAGGUUAAUUGAUGGGGUUAGCGCAAGCGAAGCUCUUGAUCGAAGCCCCGGUAAACGGCGGCCGUAACUAUAACGGUCCUAAGGUAGCGAAAUUCCUUGUCGGGUAAGUUCCGACCUGCACGAAUGGCGUAAUGAUGGCCAGGCUGUCUCCACCCGAGACUCAGUGAAAUUGAACUCGCUGUGAAGAUGCAGUGUACCCGCGGCAAGACGGAAAGACCCCGUGAACCUUUACUAUAGCUUGACACUGAACAUUGAGCCUUGAUGUGUAGGAUAGGUGGGAGGCUUUGAAGUGUGGACGCCAGUCUGCAUGGAGCCGACCUUGAAAUACCACCCUUUAAUGUUUGAUGUUCUAACGUUGACCCGUAAUCCGGGUUGCGGACAGUGUCUGGUGGGUAGUUUGACUGGGGCGGUCUCCUCCUAAAGAGUAACGGAGGAGCACGAAGGUUGGCUAAUCCUGGUCGGACAUCAGGAGGUUAGUGCAAUGGCAUAAGCCAGCUUGACUGCGAGCGUGACGGCGCGAGCAGGUGCGAAAGCAGGUCAUAGUGAUCCGGUGGUUCUGAAUGGAAGGGCCAUCGCUCAACGGAUAAAAGGUACUCCGGGGAUAACAGGCUGAUACCGCCCAAGAGUUCAUAUCGACGGCGGUGUUUGGCACCUCGAUGUCGGCUCAUCACAUCCUGGGGCUGAAGUAGGUCCCAAGGGUAUGGCUGUUCGCCAUUUAAAGUGGUACGCGAGCUGGGUUUAGAACGUCGUGAGACAGUUCGGUCCCUAUCUGCCGUGGGCGCUGGAGAACUGAGGGGGGCUGCUCCUAGUACGAGAGGACCGGAGUGGACGCAUCACUGGUGUUCGGGUUGUCAUGCCAAUGGCACUGCCCGGUAGCUAAAUGCGGAAGAGAUAAGUGCUGAAAGCAUCUAAGCACGAAACUUGCCCCGAGAUGAGUUCUCCCUGACUCCUUGAGAGUCCUGAAGGAACGUUGAAGACGACGACGUUGAUAGGCCGGAUGUGUAAGCGCAGCGAUGCGUUGAGCUAACCGGUACUAAUGAACCGUGAGGCUUAACCUUACAACGCCGAAGGUGUUU